Eriocheir sinensis (Chinese mitten crab) is the source of this 150-nucleotide long non-coding RNA. RefSeq lists it as uncharacterized. Lineage: Eukaryota; Metazoa; Arthropoda; Malacostraca; Decapoda; Varunidae. The transcript has 3 exons. The record is from RefSeq and is a predicted model, not a curated record.
CGAGGUAAUGUGUGAUAUGUUUCCAGGUAAUGUCGUGUGAUAUGUUUCCAGGUAAUGUCGUGUGAUAUGUUUUCAGGUAAUGUGGUGUGAUAUGUUUCCAGGUAAUGUUGUGUGAUUUGUUUCCAGGUAAUAUUGUGUGAUAUGUUUCCC